Molecule: ribosomal RNA, 301 nt
Filed under: uncultured bacterium
Lineage: Bacteria
Description: partial 16S ribosomal RNA
Rfam family: Bacterial small subunit ribosomal RNA
Source: RNAcentral
AGUCGCCGCGGGAAUACGGAGGGUGCGAGCGUUAAUCGGAAUUACUAGGCGUAAAGCGUACGCAGGCGGUUUGUUAAGUCAGAUGUGAAAUCCCCGAGCUUAACUCGGGAACUGCAUUUGAAACUGGCAGGCUAGAGUCUCGUAGAGGGGGGUAGAAUUCCAGGUGUAGCGGUGAAAUGCGUAGAGAUCUGGAGGAAUACCGGUGGCGAAGGCGGCCCCCUGGACGAAGACUGACGCUCAGGUACGAAAGCGUGGGGAGCAAACAGGAUUAGAUACCCGAGUAGUCCCUGUCUCUUAUACA